RNAcentral lists this ribosomal RNA (253 nucleotides) under uncultured bacterium. RNAcentral's name for it is "partial 16S ribosomal RNA". It matches the Rfam family "Bacterial small subunit ribosomal RNA", at positions 524 to 776 of the family's 1533-position model. The record is from RNAcentral.
UACGGAGGAUGCAAGCGUUAUCCGGAUUUAUUGGGUUUAAAGGGUGCGUAGGCGGAAAAUUAAGUCAGUGAUGAAAUCCUGCAGCUUAACUGUAGAACUGUUAUUGAUACUGGUUUUCUUGAAUAUAGUUGAGGUAGGCGGAAUGUGUAAUGUAGCGGUGAAAUGCUUAGAUAUUACACAGAACACCGAUUGCGAAGGCAGCUUACUAAGCUAUGAUUGACGCUGAGGCACGAAAGCGUGGGGAGCGAACAGG